RNAcentral lists this unclassified non-coding RNA (115 nucleotides) under Chryseobacterium soldanellicola. Its description in RNAcentral is "Flavo-1 RNA". The record is from RNAcentral. Lineage: Bacteria; Pseudomonadati; Bacteroidota; Flavobacteriia; Flavobacteriales; Weeksellaceae.
CCCUAGCCCCGAUUGCAGCUUUGUUUGAGCUCUUUUUUUUAGUUUUAGGCUGCGGCGGCUUCGCCGCCGCAGCCUAAAACUAAAAAAAUAGCGAGUGCGGAAAGCGGGAAUAGCU